RNAcentral lists this ribosomal RNA (482 nucleotides) under uncultured bacterium. RNAcentral's name for it is "bacterial SSU rRNA". It matches the Rfam family "Bacterial small subunit ribosomal RNA", at positions 29 to 506 of the family's 1533-position model. The record is from RNAcentral.
UUGAACGCUGGCGGCAUGCUUUACACAUGCAAGUCGAACGGCAGCACGGGGGCAACCCUGGUGGCGAGUGGCGAACGGGUGAGUAAUAUAUCGGAACAUAUCCGGGAGUGGGGGAUAACGUAGCGAAAGUUACGCUAAUACCGCAUAUGCCCUGAGGGGGAAAGUGGGGGAUCGCAAGACCUCACGCUUUCGGAGUGGCCGAUAUCGGAUUAGCUAGUUGGUGGGGUAAAGGCCUACCAAGGCGACGAUCUGUAGCGGGUCUGAGAGGAUGAUCCGACACACUGGGACUGAGACACGGCCCAGACUCCUACGGGAGGCAGCAGUGGGGAAUUUUGGACAAUGGGCGAAAGCCUGAUCCAGCCAUGCCGCGUGCGGGAAGAAGGCCUUCGGGUUGUAAACCGCUUUCAGCCGGAAAGAAAUCGCCACUUCUAAUACGAGUGGUGGAUGACGGUACCGGAAGAAGAAGCACCGGCUAACUACGU